GCGUCCUUAGCUCAGCUAGAUAGAGUACCUGGCUACGACCCAGGCGGUCGGAGGUUCGAAUCCUCCAGGCCGCGCCA
Molecule: transfer RNA, 77 nt
Filed under: Vibrio parahaemolyticus
Lineage: Bacteria; Pseudomonadati; Pseudomonadota; Gammaproteobacteria; Vibrionales; Vibrionaceae
Description: tRNA-Arg
Rfam family: tRNA
About the family: Transfer RNA (tRNA) molecules are approximately 80 nucleotides in length. Their secondary structure includes four short double-helical elements and three loops (D, anti-codon, and T loops).
Source: RNAcentral